GUAAGUAUAGCUCAGUGGUAGAGCACAUGCUUAGCAUGUGGGAGGUCCUGGGUUCAAUCCCCAGUACCUCCA
RNAcentral lists this transfer RNA (72 nucleotides) under Camelus bactrianus (Bactrian camel). It matches the Rfam family "tRNA". Rfam says of the family: Transfer RNA (tRNA) molecules are approximately 80 nucleotides in length. Lineage: Eukaryota; Metazoa; Chordata; Mammalia; Artiodactyla; Camelidae. RNAcentral also lists the same sequence under 2 other names. The record is from Rfam by way of RNAcentral.